Molecule: ribosomal RNA, 513 nt
Filed under: uncultured bacterium
Lineage: Bacteria
Description: partial 16S ribosomal RNA
Rfam family: Bacterial small subunit ribosomal RNA
Source: RNAcentral
AACGAACGCUGGCGGCAUGCCUAAUACAUGCAAUUCGAGCGAACAGAUGAAGUGCUUGCACUUCUGACGUUAGCGGCGAACGGGUGAGUAACACGUAAGGAAUCUACCUAUAAGCGGGGGAUAACAUUCGGAAACGGGUGCUAAUACCGCAUAAUAUCUUCUUCCGCAUGGAAGAAGAUUGAAAGACGGCUCUGCUGUCACUUAUAGAUGACCUUGUGGUGCAUUAGUUAGUUGGUGGGGUAACGGCCUACCAAGACGAUGAUGCAUAGCCGACCUGAGAGGGUGAUCGGCCACAUUGGGACUGAGACACGGCCCAAACUCCUACGGGAGGCAGCGGUAGGGAAUCUUCCGCAAUGGGCGAAAGCCUGACGGAGCAAUGCCGCGUGAGUGAAGAAGGCCUUCGGGUCGUAAAACUCUGUUAUAAGAGAAGAACAAAUUGUAGAGUAACUGCUACAGUCUUGACGGUAUCUUAUCAGAAAGCCACGGCUAACUACGUGCCAGCAGCCGCGGUAA